UGGAGGUUACGUCACAGCCAAGGGGAGGGAAGGGGGAUGAUAUCACCCCGAGCUGAGGACUAACUCCUCCCUCAUGCUAACCACACCUCCACCAGCUCACCUGCCAAGGGCUCCUGAAAUUACCUGCAGUUCUGCCAGCCCUGGUGGAGCUGGCAAGGGAGAACCAGCCCAAAUAUUUAGGAGUUCAAUUCAAUUAUAGGGGACUGAAGAGUUCAGAGUACACAGAAGCAAGAUCAAGACUAUCUGUGCUUGACUCAAGAGAUGGAAUCCCAGUGCAGCUGGAUUAUUGUCCCUAUGGAAAGGCAAGCAGUGAAAACCCAACUCCUGCACAGGUAACUCGAGCUAGUUCUGCUGGGAAAAGAGCAGGGAUGUUUGGAACACAGGUCAGUCUUACAUCUCUCCACUUGUGGCUUACCCAGAAAUACAAAUUCUCUCUGCUCACACGUGGGCUGUCUCAGCUAAAGCACAAAAUUGGGAUGAGCUGGCUCCAAACCAACCACAGGAGGACACACACUACCUGUGGCAAUAUAAAAGUGCCAGUUGCACAUCAAAAGAACAAGUCUGGAUAAAAAGAAGUCAGCACCAGAUAUUUGCUUUGCACCAUGAAAGUUUAGCUGUUCUAGAAAUAGGAGUCCAAAAGCCUGAUUCACUCCACUGCUAAACUCCAUCCCAGGACACAAAAUAAAGAUAUUGCUAAAGCACAACAGGUCAAAACAAACUCAAGAAGCCAAAGUGAAGGGAAAGAGGCUAUGAGGCUGAUUAGAUGAGAAUUACAGGAAAAAUGCAGUCUAUUCCAAAAUGACAGGUGAUUCAGAAAGGGAGAAAGAGUGGAGAGAAUUCAGAGGAGAAGCAAUUUCAUAAGCUUAUGACAUUUCAAUGUCUAAUUGACUGGACUGAGCAGACAUUUUGAUGGGCCCAGGCCCACUCCAAUCCUAAAUUAACAUCUCAGGAAUGUCAUCUCACCCCCUCACAGCACAGAUAAGUGGGUCACUGCUAAAUUGACUGGUUCUCAAUUCUGAGCUUGUGGGGCCCUUGAAAUAAAGUUCUCUAAGCUGGGGAGGUGCUGGAGCUCCUUGGGCAACACCAGGAGGGGAGUUUGUUCCAGUGCAGCAUCAAACA
Long non-coding RNA from Passer domesticus (house sparrow), 1119 nucleotides. RefSeq lists it as uncharacterized. Lineage: Eukaryota; Metazoa; Chordata; Aves; Passeriformes; Passeridae. The record is from RefSeq and is a predicted model, not a curated record. The transcript has 2 exons.